UGGCCGGUCGUCCAAGGGUAGGACACGUGGUUUUGGUCCAUGGAAUGGGGGUUCGAAUCCUCCCCGGCCAGCCA
RNAcentral lists this transfer RNA (74 nucleotides) under Acidobacteriota bacterium. RNAcentral's name for it is "Acidobacteria bacterium (activated sludge metagenome) tRNA-Gln". It matches the Rfam family "tRNA". Rfam says of the family: Transfer RNA (tRNA) molecules are approximately 80 nucleotides in length. Their secondary structure includes four short double-helical elements and three loops (D, anti-codon, and T loops). Further hydrogen bonds mediate the characteristic L-shaped molecular structure. tRNAs have two regions of fundamental functional importance: the anti-codon, which is responsible for specific mRNA codon recognition, and the 3' end, to which the tRNAs corresponding amino acid is attached (by aminoacyl-tRNA synthetases). tRNAs cope with the degeneracy of the genetic code in two manners: having more than one tRNA (with a specific anti-codon) for a particular amino acid; and 'wobble' base-pairing, i.e. permitting non-standard base-pairing at the 3rd anti-codon position. RNAcentral also lists the same sequence under 1 other name. The record is from RNAcentral. Lineage: Bacteria; Pseudomonadati; Acidobacteriota.